AUUCACUGAACCAUUCAAAUGAGUCAUUUGUUUGUAAGUCAAACUGAGCACGCUAUAGUAGCAUUACACCUGCUAAGAUAAUUCAAUAUGUGCAAUCUGAAUUUAAUAAUAAUAUUUAUUUUGUGGUAACACUGCCGUGUGGGCAGCUCUGACAGAGAAAAACACUAUAGAUACGUAAGAGAAAGCCGUAAAAUGUAAGUGCAUCAUCUUUUGUUCUUGAAUGGAGGCCUAAUCUGUCUGCUGCACUUCAGCAGGUUCAGUUUUUAGAGUGAAUGAAAACUUCUGAAGCAUAGAUAUGCCGUGUGAUGUGAUUAAAAUCAUACUUAUUUUACUGUGGUGGGGAUUAUUAUGAGCAAACAAAUUUAAAAGUUUAAUCUGAACACUAUAUAUAUGUAAUCUGACAUUUAUUUAUUUUAUUUUUUUACAGAAAUUCUGAGCUGCUGCAUGAACAUUCAUCAAACAUAUAAGGCUGCAAUUUGGAAAAAAACUUUCAAGCUAAUGCUGCUGAAAUGGAGGUCAAGGGGACUAUGAAGAGGUGGCUCCAGCUGAUCAAAAGUGAGUACUUCAGGAGGCAGACACACUCUGUUACAAUAAUCAGCUGAUCCAGACCAGACGGUGGACCUGCACCAGGAACGACCACAACACAUCCCUGACUGUCAGCGGAGACCAUGUCAGCUAGAGGACCUCACUGAUGGCCUCAGCACAGAUCCUCAGCAAAGACUACGAGAACCAGACAAGCCCUCUGCGCAGACCCUUUUACCAGCUUCACCUGCUGGCGUGAUGUUUCCUCAUGCAGAAGAAGUUGGACGAAAUAUUCUGAAUGAUAUCAAUCCACAAUCUGACUUGUGAUGCAGCCUGGA
This is a long non-coding RNA of Onychostoma macrolepis, 860 nucleotides long. RefSeq lists it as uncharacterized. NCBI's taxonomy places the organism in Eukaryota, Metazoa, Chordata, Actinopteri, Cypriniformes, Cyprinidae. The record is from RefSeq and is a predicted model, not a curated record. The transcript is spliced from 3 exons.